Molecule: unclassified non-coding RNA, 301 nt
Filed under: uncultured fungus
Lineage: Eukaryota; Fungi
Description: partial contains small subunit ribosomal RNA, internal transcribed spacer 1, and 5.8S ribosomal RNA
Rfam family: Eukaryotic small subunit ribosomal RNA (bases 1-73)
Source: RNAcentral
GCAAACUUGGUCAUUUAGAGGAAGUAAAAGUCGUAACAAGGUUUCCGUAGGUGAACCUGCGGAAGGAUCAUUAUCGAUUGUGAAUCGUUGCCCUCUGUGCUGGCUGGCUCCCUCCGGCAAGUGCACGUUGGUGACUUUCCAUCCAAACACCCUUGUGAACCUUUGGCCUCUUGCUGGCUUUGGCUGGUGGAGGAUUUUACACACCAACUCGAAUGUAAUGAGAAAUAUUCUUGUGCGCAAGCACUAUUAUACAACUUUCAACAACGGAUCUCUUGGCUCUCGCAUCGAUGAAGAACGCAGC